GAUGAACGCUAGCUACAGGCUUAACACAUGCAAGUCGAGGGGAAACGGCAUCGAAAGCUUGCUUUUGAUGGGCGUCGACCGGCGCACGGGUGAGUAACGCGUAUCCAACCUGCCCAUCACUUGGGAAUAACCUUGCGAAAGUAAGACUAAUGCCCAAUGACAUCCCACGAAGGCAUCCGAAUGGGAUUAAAGAUUUAUCGGUGAUGGAUGGGGAUGCGUCUGAUUAGCUUGUUGGCGGGGUGACGGCCCACCAAGGCAACGAUCAGUAGGGGUUCUGAGAGGAAGGUCCCCCACAUUGGAACUGAGACACGGUCCAAACUCCUACGGGAGGCAGCAGUGAGGAAUAUUGGUCAAUGGGCGAGAGCCUGAACCAGCCAAGUAGCGUGCAGGAUGACGGCCCUAUGGGUUGUAAACUGCUUUUAUAAGGGAAUAAAGUGGGUCACGUGUGACUUUUUGCAUGCACCUUAUGAAUAAGGACCGGCUAAUUCCGUG
This 492-nucleotide ribosomal RNA is filed under the name uncultured bacterium. RNAcentral describes it as "partial 16S ribosomal RNA". It matches the Rfam family "Bacterial small subunit ribosomal RNA", at positions 28 to 507 of the family's 1533-position model. The record is from RNAcentral.